Molecule: long non-coding RNA, 723 nt
Organism: Ahaetulla prasina
Lineage: Eukaryota; Metazoa; Chordata; Lepidosauria; Squamata; Colubridae
Exons: 3
Source: RefSeq, a predicted model, not a curated record
GAGCACUACUGGCAAGAGCUGAAGGGCAAAAUGCCGCAAGCCCAGGAAAUGGUCAGAAAAAAAGGAAGUUUAGCCCAGAGAAGACUUGCAAAAUUCUUUUAAAAUGAUCUUUGCCUGAAAUAUGUGUGAGGAUAGAUCCUUCUGAAAUGUUGGUACUUAGCUCUCCCCAUUCUGUCAAAUGCAAAACCAAACCGAACAAAAGAAGGAAAACAAAUACAAAAUGGGAAGCUACAUUUGGAAAUUGGAUUUCCUUUUGACUGAGCUGGGGUGGGUGUGGCCUGCACGUGACGCAGCCGACCCAUGGGCUGCCAGUUUGACACCCCUGGAUUAAGUCAUUUUAGGAUUUAAACCUGAUGACUUCAGUGGAAAUGACUUAAAGGUUUAUUUUCAUCACUGCAAGAUAAUUCUAUUGAGAGGAACUGGAAUGGAUUUCUGUGGCUUCCUAUAGCAAUCUCUUAGUUUUAUUGAAAAAGUAUUUGUUAGGAUAUUUGGUUGUUCAGCUUUUAAAAAGCAAUAUUGAUAUACAUUCCAUUAUGCAUAUGUGCAGAUUCCUUAGCAUUAUUUUUGUUAAAAGUCCACAUUUUCCUGAAAUUUGGAUUAUAUGCUUUUUCUUAGAAUAAGAAAUUAAUUUUAUCAGAUGAAAUUUAUUUGUUUCACUUGAUGAAUCUGUAGCUUUGGUGAAUAUCUGAAAAAAUACAUUGUGAAAUGCUGUUAAUUUAUACA